GGAAGCCUUUAGAGAUAGAGGCGUGCUACGAAAGAGAGCCGUAACACAGGUGCUGCAUGGCUGUCGUCAGCUCGUGUCGUGAGAUGUUGGGUUAAGUCCCGCAACGAGCGCAACCCUUGUCAUUAGUUGCUACAUUCAGUUGGGCACUCUAAUGAGACUGCCGGUGACAAGCCGAGAGUGGGAUGACGUCAAGUCCUCAUGGCCCUUAUAGGUGGGGCUACACACGUCAUACAAUGGCUGGUACAAAGGGUUGCCAACCGCGAGGGGGAGCUAAUCCCAUAAAGCCAGUCGUAGUCCGGAUCGUAGUCUGCAACUCGACUACGUGAAGUCGGAAUCGCUAGUAAUCGUGGAUCAGAAUGUCACGGUGAAUACGUUCCCGGGUCUU
Molecule: ribosomal RNA, 385 nt
Filed under: uncultured Rhodoferax sp.
Lineage: Bacteria; Pseudomonadati; Pseudomonadota; Betaproteobacteria; Burkholderiales; Comamonadaceae
Description: bacterial SSU rRNA
Rfam family: Bacterial small subunit ribosomal RNA
Source: RNAcentral